Molecule: long non-coding RNA, 727 nt
Organism: Oryctolagus cuniculus (rabbit)
Lineage: Eukaryota; Metazoa; Chordata; Mammalia; Lagomorpha; Leporidae
Source: RefSeq, a predicted model, not a curated record
ACCAGCCCUCCCCGCGCCCUCGGGCCAGGCGCCGCCAACUGACGGCCAGUCGUUUUCCAGCCUCGUCCCGCGUCCCGCCCACGGCUCCUUCGCCCAAGCCUCCGCGGAGCGCCUCUGCGCAGCCGGUCUCAAAAUGAUGGCACAACUCCAUUGGCAUCGUGACGCUACCACAGAAUGUUCUGUCACCCAAGACACCAUCAGAUCCAGCUCUCUGCUAUGGCCUGGGCUAGCAGUAGAAGAUGGCCCAAGUCCUUGGACCCCUGCACCCACGUGGGAGACCCAGAAGAAGCUCCUGGCUCCUGGCUUCAGAUCAGCACAACUCUGGCUGUUGCGGCCAGCUGGGGAGUGAACCACCAAAUGGAGGACCUUUCUUUCUCUCUGCCUCUCCUCUCUGUAACUCUAACUUUCAAAUAAAUAAAUAAAUCUUUAGGAAAAAAAUGUACAACUAGGGGCCAGCACUGUGGCGUACCAGGUAAAGCUGCUGCCUGCAGUGCCGACAUCCCAUUUGGACACCAGUUCAAGUCCCAGCUGCUCCACUUCUGAUGCAGCUCUCUGCUACAGCCUGGGAAAGCAGUAGAAGAUGGCCCAAGUGCUUGGGCUUCUGUACCCAUGUGGGAGACCUGGAGGAAGCUCCUGGCUUUGGAUCAGCCCAGCUCUGGCCAUUGCAGCCAUUUGAGGAGUGAACCAAUGGAUGAAAGACCUCUCUCCGCCUCUGCCUCUCUGUAAU